AGGUGUUUAAUUUUCUUUAGUUUUUUGUUUUCUCGGCUUUUGAAACCCUGGAUUUCCAUCUAGAAACUUAUACCAUGGAAAAAUGUCUCCAAGUCGCCAACUUGAUGGCCUAAUUUUAGCUUGACUUGCUGAUUUUUGUGUUGUGGAUGAAGUUUCCGAUUUGGGUUUGCUCCAAUUAGGGUUCUUUCCCAUCUCGGUUUCUUCAAUUUUGUGGGUUUUCAUACGGAUUUGUUCGUGAUUUUUUAUUACGAUUAGGGUUUUUUGAACUGUGCGCCAAAUGUUGUUCAAUUUGGAUGAUUUUUGUGGUUCUGUGAUUUGGGUUUCAUCAGUUUUGUGGUGAAGCUAGGGUUUCUGAUCUGGGUUUGUUAAAUUUGUGAUAUAAUAAGCCUUUUGGUUGUGAUGGGUGAGGAGACGUCUGAUGCAAUGAACCUUGACCUGAAUCUGGGUCCUGGUCCCGAUGCUGGCUCAAUGUCAAAUGAACCUGUAAAUUUGGAUGCUUGGACUGAAGCGCCUAUCCGCAGAAUUGCGGAAGCUAUGAGGAGGGCCAGGCAGAGGAGAUGGCCGCUACCUGAAAGGCGGAAUAUUUCCACGCUACCUGAAAGGCGGAAUAUUUCCAUGCUACCUGAAAGGCGGAAUAUUUCCAUGGAGUUGAAUGAAUUGAUGGUCAACUCUGGUAACUCAAGUACAUUACAACCCGGUGAGGGUAGCCUUACAGCAGAAGAAAGAACAAGUGACGCACCCAAG
This 744-nucleotide long non-coding RNA is filed under the name Malus domestica (apple). RNAcentral's name for it is "long non-coding RNA (MDOM_LNC013713)". Lineage: Eukaryota; Viridiplantae; Streptophyta; Magnoliopsida; Rosales; Rosaceae. The record is from RNAcentral.